UGGGGCGUAAAGCGCAUGCAGGUGGUUUGUUAAGUCAGAUGUGAAAGCCCGGGGCUCAACCUCGGAAUUGCAUUUGAAACUGGCAGACUAGAGUACUGUAGAGGGGGGUAGGAAUUUCAGGUGUAGCGGUGAAAUGCGUAGAGAUCUGAAGGAAUACCGGUGGCGAAGGCGGCCCCCUGGACAGAUACUGACACUCAGAUGCGAAAGCGUGGGGAGCAAACAGGAUUAGAUACCCUGGUAG
Molecule: ribosomal RNA, 241 nt
Filed under: uncultured bacterium
Lineage: Bacteria
Description: partial 16S ribosomal RNA
Rfam family: Bacterial small subunit ribosomal RNA
Source: RNAcentral